UUUGGCCAUAGAUAUGAUAUUGGGUUUUAUUCUGCAACUUAAAUCCAUACAUUUGCAAACAACUGUUACGAACUGACAAUGGCCUUUAGUCAGAAACAGUAAUACCAAACAAUGAAGAUUAAUCCACCAACUCAUAGAUGAAUAUGAUACUGUUAGAGUCUUCAGUAUUGUUGUAUUAUAUUGUAUUAUGCAUGGUUUUAUGUUUCUUAUACCUCACUGAGAGCAGACAGAGUUGUAUGGAAUCCCUAUGGAGAUGUGAAGGAGGUGUUUUUGUGCUGGGGUAUAUCACUGUGAUAUGGACUGGAGGGUCACAGUGAAAUUAGGCUGUACAAAAACCUCAGAGACAAAACCUGCAUUAUAUCUGCAUGAGGAUUGGAACAAUGGGGAGAAACCAUUCAAUAUUCUUCAAAUGAUCGUCUCGUAUUGAUGUAACCUCAUUGUAAAUUGCUUUACAUUUUUAAAAGUAUGUUUUGAUGGAGUGAUGUCAUGACAUGGACCUGAGCAUUCAUUUAUAAAAGGUGCAGGGUUUUUGUACAGGCAGUGAAUGGAGACAGAGCACUGUGACGCUUUUGACUACUGGGGUAAAGGGACACAAGUCACCGUCUCAGCAGCAACCACAGCCCCCUCUUCCCUAUUCCCUCUUAUGAACUGUGGAACCCCUACUAACGACAUCUACAGCAUUGGUUGUGUCGCUACCGGCUUUUCGCCUUCCUUAAUCACCUUCAAAUGGACAGACGCCAGUGGGAGUGCGCUGAUGGACUUUGUCCAGUACCCGUCGGUUCAGAGCGGGGGAGCCUACAUCGGAGUCAGUCAGCUCCGUGUGUCUAAGAAUGACUGGGGAAAAUCUCAGUAUUUCAGGUGUUCUGUGGAACAUCUUGGAAGUGAACAGACAGCAGUCAUCAAUAAACAACCAGUCUCAGUGUCUUUGCUGUCAGCGCCCAUUGGCAACACCCAGUACACCCUGAUGUGUAUGAUUGAAGAUUUAGCCGUUGUGGAAGUCACUGUCACCUGGAAGAAGAAUGAUAAGGAGGUCGAGGGCCCGACCCCUACUGUAGGUCUACAGCCAUCAGGCCUCUACUCAGCCAGCAGUCUGCUGAAGGUCAACAACACUGACUGGAACAACAAGGUCAAGUACAGCUGUGUGGUGCAGCACCAGGGACAAACCACCAUCAAGACAAUCUCCAAAACAGAACCACUGACGGUGACUCUGAACCCACCGAGUGUGAAAAAGGUGUUCCUCGACAACCAAGCAGUGCUGGACUGUGUCAUCACUGGUACAGACCAGAACACAGUGGCUGGUACCACUAUCACCUGGCAGGUCAACGGAAAGGACAAGACGGAAAAAAUAGUUGAAUCACAGGGCAACCUGAACAGCAGGGUCAGUACUCUGACCAUAGACCAGACGGAGUGGACCAAUGUGAACAAAGUCCAGUGUUCUGCCAUGAAGAGAGGUGAAGUCACACCGGUCAUUCAGGACAUCAGCUUUACCAAAGGAAGUCGAGCCCCUUCAGUGUCCGUUCACCUUCUCCCGGAGGAAGACACCAAGAAGGAGGGGGAUGUGACUCUGGUGUGCCUGGUGGUCAGCCCGUCUCUCUGUGACAUCUACAUCAUGUGGAAGGAGGACAGCAGCGAGUACCAGGAUGGGGUCACCAGCCCUCCUCAGAAAACCCCGGAAGGCAACUACUCUGUCACCAGUGUCUUCACCGUCAAAAAAAAUAAGUGGGAGGGAAACUCGGUUUUCACAUGUGUCGUCAAGCACCGCUUGGACAACAACACAGCACCUCAGGAGAGGAGUGUGUCAAAGUCCAUGGCGAACAUCCUACUGACUGAGCCUGAGGUGGGCUUCUCUCUGAGCUGCAUGGACAACUUUGAGGAUGAGUUCAGCAGCCUGUGGUCCACCACCUCCUCCUUCAUCAUCCUCUUCCUUCUCUCUCUCACCUACAGCACAGUACUCAGCCUGGUCAAGAUGAAGCAGCGAAGAACACAUGAUGGACUGCAGAGAUAGAUGUGUCUAGAUUAGAAAGAUGGUUAUGGCACAGUGUUCUUCACUAAUAAUGUUAUGUAUAUAUCCAAUACAUUAUUGAUUAUGAUUGAUUUGUUUUGUUGAUCUCAAUAUUAUGCAAGCAUUGUGGUGAUGUGUUAUUUUUCCUUCAUUGAUUUCUAUUGUACACUAUCUUUAAAUUAAGUGUAUCCUCUGAUGUCUCUGUAAUCUAUUUCACUUGAAUAAAGUCUAAGAUUUAGCUA
Oncorhynchus keta (chum salmon) is the source of this 2244-nucleotide non-coding RNA. The record is from the annotation of a RefSeq genome assembly. Lineage: Eukaryota; Metazoa; Chordata; Actinopteri; Salmoniformes; Salmonidae.